RNAcentral lists this long non-coding RNA (5159 nucleotides) under Sus scrofa (pig). RNAcentral describes it as "lncRNA (ENSSSCG00025032224.1)". Lineage: Eukaryota; Metazoa; Chordata; Mammalia; Artiodactyla; Suidae. The record is from RNAcentral.
UGAGAGUAUGUUCCUAAAAUGGAAGUUAAAUUGUCUAGACAACUAAUAUUAGAGAAAAGUUCACUUAUCAGCUUAAAUAAACUCUUGAAUCCAUGGACUUCUGAAACAACACACAUUUUAAAUGCAAAUGCAAUCUUGAAUUUUCUAAUGGGUAAAUAGGUGAAAAUAUACGUUGUUCUGUUUCUAUAUCUUUUUCAGAGAGUUAAAAUUCCCUUCUGUCUGCUUUCCAGUUCUCAUGCCCUCAGAACAGAAAAAUUCUUUUUUUAAAUUCAAAUUUACUAAGUUGGUUGAGAUACAGUAUCACCACCCAAAUAGUGACUUUAAGAUUCAUAUUUAAAUUUUUAUAUGAUUUAAAAUAAUCAGUUUUGAAGAUUAAAGUAUUUGUUUUACCUAAUUAACUCUUUUUAUGUGAUUGUUUUAUCUUAUAGCUUCAAAUUUAGCUGGUAGUAUAGAAAAACUGCAAUGCAGUCAUUUACUCAGGGAUAUAUAUAUAUAUUUAUCUCAUGCCACCUAGUAACUGUAAAUAAUUUAUUUUCUAAGAGAAAUAUGUAUAACAGAUUAGCUAAAGUCUAGGCAGUUUAUUAUUCCUCUAUGCUUUUCCGUAAUUAAGCCACACUAUUAGAGAACUAUGUAUCUGAGCUAUAUUUUGUCAGUCUCCCAUAGUUUGGUUCUUUCCUAAGUCCUCUUUUACUUAGUUCAUAUUGAGAAAAAAACCCUAUGCUGUAUGUCAAUAUGCUAUUAGGGAUUGUCGAAGUUAUAGCUAAUUACAUUAAUUAUUUUACAUGGGUGCUAACCUUUUUUGGAUGUUGGUAUCAAGAUUCAUUAUGUUUCGUUCAGAGUAAUUUUUGCAUAAUGCAGUGUUAUCUAAACUAUUCUGAAAUCACUAAUAUGUCAGAAGAUGUCUGUAAAAAGAACUGAAAAAAACAAUAGGAUUUGGGUUCAGAUAUGUUUUGGAAAAUGGGCUUACCUUCAAGCCUCUUGAACAUUUACAGUGACCAUUAGCAUGGUUAAAAUGCACUGGGCCAUUCUUCAGUGAAGCAGCCUCUUUAAUCUUGGAGUCUCUUUUUUCUCAGGUAAUGUAACUUGGAGAAUGCUGAUCUGAAGUUUCCUGUAUAUUACAUAAUUCAUGGGAGAAUUAUCAUCACAGUAGCAUGUAUCACUAUGCAUGAUAAUGUUGUAUACCAUGCAACAAUCAGGUGUAAUAAGGUGGAGUUACAUAAAGCAACAUAUACAGAUCUCGAAAAUGUAAUCAGAACGAGAGUGUUCUAUGAACUUUACAAGAAUAGAGCACAUGCUACCUGGCAAGUAAUUAGAACUUCUUCAUAUGCAAGAUUAAAAUAACCUCCUUCCUCUGGCUCCUUUUACCUACAUAUUUUGCAUACAGUUUUGCACCUACUUUAAUGGCUUUCUUUCUUCCUUAUAAUAAUUUAGGGGUGUUUGUAAGCCUCCUUGGUAAAGCUUGGCUACAAAUAAACAAAAUAAACUUUAUUCUAAAUCAGUAAUUGCUUGUCUUGUUGAGUAGUGGUAACUUUGAAUUAUUUCCUUGUUCUUCCAUCCUUUUACCUGGGGGUAGGGAGAGAGGAGGUAGGAUAUUUGCAUGUGUAUGUGAUAAUUCUGAGCUUUGACAACAAUGUUCCUCUUGCCAAGAUCAUCUAGUUUGAUUAGCAUCUUUAUGUAUUUCAUCUAUUUAUUGUGUAGAUGAGAAGAUGAGCAGAAAAAAAAGGAGUCAAAGGAAAACACUAUUGUGUUCUCUGGGACCUCUUCAUAUGAAGGGGACAUCAUUCAUUAUUUUCUGACGAUAAAAAUCAGGAAUGUAACAAUAGAUAUCAGGGAUGAGGAUAGUAUGUAAAACAUGCAGGACUGUGAAGAGCGUUGAAAAUGAUAUUCGGCAUUACAGGUCAGCCUAAAUCAUAACUGUUGUUAUAUUGUUGAAUCAUGCUUAUGGUAAAUUGGUUUCUGUCUCAAGAAAAAAGUUUAUUACUUAUCUACUGUGCAGGUAGGACAGGUAAGAACUGUGAAACACAAGGAGUGGCUACAAAAAAAAAGUGAAGUGGAGGCAUUGCAAGGAGUCCUCAGUUUGAAAAGUCCUGCUGAUUGUGUAAUACAAAGUUUAUUUCCUUUUCUUUCAAUGCAUCAGGCAAUAGACAUCACACUCAUUGAACUUUAAAAAGUCCUACUUUCUUGUUAUAUAAUAAUGCAGUUAAGCUUGAUGGCAUCAUUUAAUUUACUGUCCCAUGAUCAAUUAGAUAAAUUAGGGGCUGUAUAAUGGAGUGGCUAAGAGCUUUGUCUCUGGAAUUAUUAAAAUCUGGGGAAGAAUCUGAUCUUAACAAAUAGUUGUGGAAUUUGGUGUGUGUAUUUAAACUCAGCCUUCUUUUCAUCUGUAGAAUGGGAUAAUGGUAGUAGAAAUCUCAUAGGGUUGUUGCAAGAAUGAAAUUGAAUAAUGCUGAUAAAAGUAGUCAGCACACUAACUAGCGCUUAGUAAGUAAUCAAAUUUAGCUAUGUGAUUAUUACUGCUAUUCCUUAUUGAUUUAUAUUUGUUUUAUUAUCUUUACCUCAUGUUCCUCAGCUGAGAGCAGUUAUGCCCCCAGAGGAUGUUUGACAAUGUUUGGAGACAGUUUUGAUUGUUACAGUUUUGGGGGUGCAUGGAAGGGAGUGGAGGAGGGAAGGUGCUGCUGGCAUCUAGUGGAUAGAAGCCAGGGAUGCUGCUGAAUAUUAUGUUGUGCACAGGACAGCCUCAUGACAAAGAAUUAUUUGGCUGCAGUAUGUCAACGGUAGAGAGGUUGAGAAACUUUAAGUAUUUAUUUUUGAGCCCUAAGCUGAAUGAUAUUAAUUCUUUUGUAUUUCUUUAAUAUCUACUGGUAUGUAAUGCUUUCUUUGUGUUAUAGUCAAAUUGGUAGCCCCAUCUAUGUAACCACAGUUUCUUUCUUUCUUAAGUUUUUCCCAUUAACGGUAAGUUCUAUGAAAGAGUCAUCAGAAGAUUCCUUAUUUUUUAUUCCCCAGAACACAGAAUAUGAAGGCCUUUGGUUUUAGGAUAAAGCGAGUAUAUAAACAUCAAAAAAGAAAUAAUUUUGAUUAGAAUUAUUUUAUUCUUUGUACACCAUUUAUUAUAAGAAAUGAGUUCUCAAGAAUGGCUGUACAUGAUAUGAACAGGAAUAUAAAUAUCUGGUAAAUGUCAACAAAGGUAGAAAUAUAAAAUACGGUUUAAACAUGAAAAAUUAAUACAUACAAUUAAAUUUAAAUUACCUACUCUGACUAGUGAAAUGCAUACAGCUCUUUGCAAAUCGAGACUGGUACUUUUUCAGUAUUUAUGUGACAAGAAAUAGAUAUAAUUUAUUAAAAUUUUGGAAAUAACUGUAAUUUUAAUGUCAUAUGGGUUGUUUUUACAGUGAAUUUUGUUGAACUGAUGUGCUUACAAAGGGGAUGAUAGGAAUUGCUUUCUCUAGGUCCUUUACUUGUAAAAAGUCAGAAAUCUAUGCUUUCUUGGCCUUUUUCCAUAUUCAGUAAAACCCCGUAUAAAUUUCUGUUCUAUUCAAUGCGUUUAGUACAGUGAUGUAUAGCAUUCUUUUACUAUAACAUGGAAAUCAUGUGUUAUUCCUAUCACUUUAGGACCCAAAUGAACAAAGAUAAUAGUAUAAUUUCAUCUGAAUAAUCUGGACUGUGACAGAAUGACAAGUAUAGAUAAAGCAAUAGAUAUCUUUACUUCUCUCUCUCAGCAUUGACUUUAUUUCCACAUAAUAUAUUUUUAUUGGAAGUCAUCAUUUAAGACUUAGAUUCACAUGUAGAGAAGUAUUAAAGUCCUAGAGUAUUAUUAGUGGUUCAUUGUCAGCCUGAGUUUGAACAGUAGGUCAGGGGACUUUUGAAUGAUGCUUCCAGGGCAUGUGAAAUUAUUAAACAUGUUCAUAGAUGACCUGGCUGAUGAGAUGAAAAAUCUAUAAAAUUAUGAAGAUCAUAAUAUCAGAUUGGUACUCUGGGGUUUAUUGUUGAUAAUUUGAAUUGAGAGUUAUUUAACAAGGAGAAAAAAUAGAAAUUCAUGGGUUAAAGAUUAAUGGAAUAAUUCUACUAGUUAUAAAUAAAAGAGAGCCCAUAAAUAAAAGAUGUAAAAGCUUGGGCCUUUAUUCAUAGAUUAGAAGCUAAAUAUGAAUAAGAAGCAUAGUAUUUUAAAAAUAUGUUUAUAAAACUCCAAUGUUGUAUAAUGGGAAGUCAUUGUUUAGGAACUACAAUGUAAUCUAUUCAUGACUUACAAAGGAGAUGGGAAGUUUAAUGAUCUUGUGAAAAACGGAGCAUACUGCUUAUUACAGUAAUGUCUGGGACCAUCAGGCAGGAAUAAGUACUAUUGGGGCAUUAAUUUCUCCAUCAUAAUUGAAAACCCAGAGAUGGCUUUGUUUUCAUGAAUAUGAGGCCAGAGAUUCAAGACUUUCAUCAUCUUUGUCUUGCUUUUUGUGAAGAUAAUAUGGCUCGUGAUUCUUGUUGCUUAAAUGAACAUAGUCAUUUUUUAAAAAAUUUUCCAAAAAUUCUCCAAAUACUCAGGACAAAAAAAAAAAAUAAAACCCAAUAACAACUGUAGUUUUCAGACUUUUGUUAGAUACAGAUCCUUUCUUGAGACUACACCUGGAUGUUCAAUAUGCAAAGCAGAUAAAAAGGAAGCUGUUUUGUUUGGAGAAUGACAGGUGGCCUCUCUAAACUUUAGGCAUAUCUUCACUUCAAAAACCUGUUUAUUGAAAAUACUCAAAAUUUUUACCCUUUCUGAUACUCAAAAAAGCAAACUGUUCUGGAAAGCAGACUGCUAGCUGUUAGAAUGUUCUACAAGUCGAUAGCAUGAAAUGUUUAUUUAUGCUAUAUGUAAAAGUAAGGUCAGCAUACACAGAAUUUACAUAAUUAAAAUUUAUAAUGCAACAUUAAAUUUUAAAAAUGAUUACAGAAUUUUAUUUAUUUUUUCAACUGUACAGCAUGAGGGCCAAGUUACACAUACAUGUAUACAUACUUUUUCCUCCCAUUGUUGUGUUGCAGUGUAAGUAUCUAGACAUAGUUCUCAAUGCUACACAGCAGGAUUGAUUACAGAAUUUAAUUAUUAUUAAUUUCUUAGUGCAGUGCCUGUAUAGCAGCCUUGAAAAUUUCCCUCUCAUAUCUAACCUUCAUCACUCCUGCAUAGUAAAAUACUG